RNAcentral lists this long non-coding RNA (2217 nucleotides) under Fukomys damarensis (Damara mole-rat). RNAcentral's name for it is "lncRNA (ENSFDAG00000030226.1)". Lineage: Eukaryota; Metazoa; Chordata; Mammalia; Rodentia; Bathyergidae. The record is from RNAcentral.
GGGGCCUUCACGGUGUUCCAUUGUGUGGGUCACCAAGCUUCUUCCCUUUCCUCUGGGCAGAGACGCAAGCUGUUCAGUGUGCUUCACUGUGGUGGACGAACAUCUUCACCAGUUGGUUUGCUCGUCAUGAUUCAUCUUCAUUAUCAGUUUGAUGGGGUUGAGAAACACCUAGGAAAUGAGUUGAACACGUUCUGGGCGUUCCCUGGGGGGGGGUGUUUCCAGAGAUGACUGGCAUGUUCCACAGCCAACUAAGAGGAGAGAUCUGCCUUGAAUGUGGGAGGCGCCUUCCAAUAGGGUGGGGCCUAGGUGGAAUAACAGCAGCCAAAGGAGGCCUCCCACUAGUUCCGGGUGUCUCAUCCGCUCUGCUUCCUGGCAGCCAUGGUGGGAGUGGCUUUCCUACACUGCAUCCUUUCGCCCUGUUUCCGCCUCACCUCAGGCCUAGAGUAAUGGAUGUGGCUGACCCACGGACUGAAACCGCGGAACGGUGAGCCAAAAAUAAACCUCUUUUUCAAGUUGAUUUUAUCAAGCAUUUUUGUCACAGUGACAGAAAGUAGCCUGACAGAACGUCUAAAGAAAUGCAUAGGUGCCAUGUGCAGCAUCCUCUCUGAAGCAGAACUUUGGGCUCGCAGCAUUUGUUUCACGAACUCAGCUUUCCCGCCAGCUUCCUCCAGAGCCGAAGAUCAUCCCUCGCCAUCUCUAAACAACACGCCAAUCACCACGGAGGAAGCGAGGCGCUGCGCUGUCCCCACUGCACCAAACAUAACCCAGGCCCCGAGCAGAAGACUAACAAGGAGCCGAGUUUGGCUUUUGAGCCGGGCCUGGUAAAUACAACAUGUUCUUACAGGUCGGAGAGCCGCCUGGAUGGUCUUCAUACUUUUUCUCUCUGUCUCCCACUUCUUCUGACUUGGGUCUCAUCGCUCCACCUUGACGUUGGCCAAGUUCACGUUUGCCGGUCGCCGAGUGAAUAAUGGACGGUUUGUGGGAUGAGUAGUGAACAAAGGACGCAGAGCCCGGAGGCCAGCCACACACUGUAGAUGCCAUCAGAUCCCCUCGCCCCAUGGGCCAUCCGCACACAUGCUGAUGGGAAUCAAGAAGGCUGAGAAUCAAAGGUCUUCAUUCCUGUUCAUUCAGCGCCUUUCUCGCGCUGGUGACAACCCCGGCAGGAUAACCCGCGCCCUCUCCUAAUCAGUUAGCCGAGGUCAUUUCUUGCUUGUCAGGUACACCCGGGCCUGCGAGCCCGACGGGGACAUUCAUAGAAUGCGAAGUGUUUGGUUGUCCCGCCUUAAAAAUGGAUUUUGUUUUUAGUGCUUGCUUUGAGGACAGGAACAGUGAAGUUGGAAACUGUGCUUGUAAUUGGGAGCAGGUCUCCUGCCAGAUCCGAACAGCUUUAAGGGAUAUCCAGUUUUAGGUUUAUAGUGCUACAUUCUGGCUCAUUGAAAUUGCAUCUCAGUGUUGCCAGAAUGCGUCAUAAACUACAAAAUUUGUACAAAAAUAUAUUGACAUAAUGACUCUGGAGCCUUCAGUCGGAGGGUAGGGAGCCGUCCCUUAUUCCCAUCAGGAUUGUCGUCCUUUUGGGUCACCUGGGGCAAUUAUCAUUCACGAGAUUCCAGGCCCGGUUGGACCAGUUUGCUCAGCUGCUUAGAACAUGGUGUCAGAAGGCUGAGGAAGUGGCCUCGCCCUGUCCUGUAGCGACAGAUGGCAUCCCUACCUGGGCCACACCAGACAAAGGCUUAGGUAUCCAUCCCAGACCGAGUGUUUCCAUCUGCUGCUGGAAUAAAGUCCCCGUGUCUUGCUGGCCUCGUAGUGCUCAGCUCUGGUCAGUCUGCACUUAGGGGGCCCUGGACACAGCUCGUCUUCCAGAUCCUCCCAUGGACCAUGUUCCCUCCUGCCUCUGAGCUUCCGUUCAUACUGUUCCCUCUGCCGGGAGCCCCUCUCUCUCCUGGCUACUUCUUCUGGCUCUUCAUUCAGUACUCAGUUUAGAGGCUGAUCUUUCUUUAUUUCUUUUCUUUUCUUUUUUUCUUUUUCUUUUUUUUNNNNNNNNNNNNNNNNNNNNNNNNNNNNNNNNNNNNNNNNNNNNNNNNNNNNNNNNNNUUUUUUUUUUUUUUUUUUUUUUUUUUUUUUUUUUUUUUACUUUCUGUGGUACUGAACCACAAAAACCAGGGCCUUUACACUGAACUACAUCCUCAGCCCUUUUCAUAAAAAAAUUUUAAUUGUGAG